Molecule: non-coding RNA, 112 nt
Organism: Fukomys damarensis (Damara mole-rat)
Lineage: Eukaryota; Metazoa; Chordata; Mammalia; Rodentia; Bathyergidae
Source: Rfam
GUCUACGGCCAUAUCACCCUGAAUGUACCCAAUCUUGUUUGACCUUGGAAGCUAGGCAGGGUCAGGCCUGGUUAGUACUUAGAUAGGAGAAUUCAACAGGUGCAGCUUUACC